Molecule: ribosomal RNA, 441 nt
Filed under: uncultured bacterium
Lineage: Bacteria
Description: partial 16S ribosomal RNA
Rfam family: Bacterial small subunit ribosomal RNA
Source: RNAcentral
CCUACGGGUGGCAGCAGUCGGGAAUAUUGCGCAAUGGAGGAAACUCUGACGCAGUGACGCCGCGUGCAGGAAGAAGGUUUUCGGAUUGUAAACUGCUUUAGACAGGGAAGAAAAAAGACAGUACCUGUAGACUAAGCUCCGGCUAACUACGUGCCAGCAGCCGCGGUAAUACGUAGGGAGCAAGCGUUAUCCGGAUUUAUUGGGUGUAACGGGUGCGUAGACGGAGAAGCAAGUUAGUUGUGAAAUCCCUCGGCUUAACUGAGGAACUGCAACUAAAACUACUUCCCUUGAGUACUGGAGAGGAAAGUGGAAUUCCUAGUGUAGCGGUGAAAUGCGUAGAUAUAUGGAAGAACACCAGUGGCGAAGGCGGCUGUCUGGUCUGCAACUGACGCUGAGGCUCGAAAGCAUGGGUAGCGAACAGGAUUAGAUACCCUAGUAGUC